CCCCUCAUAGCUCAGUUGGUAAAGAAUCUGCCUGCAAUGCAGGAGACCCAGGUUCAGUUCCUGGGUUGGGA
This 71-nucleotide transfer RNA is filed under the name Bos taurus (domestic cattle). It matches the Rfam family "tRNA". From Rfam's summary of the family: Transfer RNA (tRNA) molecules are approximately 80 nucleotides in length. Their secondary structure includes four short double-helical elements and three loops (D, anti-codon, and T loops). Further hydrogen bonds mediate the characteristic L-shaped molecular structure. tRNAs have two regions of fundamental functional importance: the anti-codon, which is responsible for specific mRNA codon recognition, and the 3' end, to which the tRNAs corresponding amino acid is attached (by aminoacyl-tRNA synthetases). tRNAs cope with the degeneracy of the genetic code in two manners: having more than one tRNA (with a specific anti-codon) for a particular amino acid; and 'wobble' base-pairing, i.e. permitting non-standard base-pairing at the 3rd anti-codon position. The record is from Rfam by way of RNAcentral. RNAcentral also lists the same sequence under 2 other names. Lineage: Eukaryota; Metazoa; Chordata; Mammalia; Artiodactyla; Bovidae.